Molecule: ribosomal RNA, 397 nt
Filed under: Chlorarachniophyceae sp.
Lineage: Eukaryota; Cercozoa; Chlorarachniophyceae
Description: partial small subunit ribosomal RNA
Rfam family: Eukaryotic small subunit ribosomal RNA
Source: RNAcentral
AUUCCAGCUCCAAUAGCGUAUAUUAAAGUUGUUGCAGUUAAAAAGCUCGUAGUUGGAUUUCAGUCUUAGUUCGUCUGGCCCGCUCCCUUGAGGAGCCGAGUGCCGGUUGCGAGCUGGACUUCCUUCUAGCAUGGAACCUCUACCGUUAUGCGGCCGGGGGGGACAUCUGGAUCAUUUACUUUGAAGAAAUUAGAGUGUUCAAAGCAAGCUUACGCUGUGAAUAUAUUAGCAUGGAAUAAUAACAUAGGACUCGGGUUCUAUUUUGUUGGUUUCUAGGACUCAAGUAAUGAUUGAUAGGGACAGUUGGGGGUGCUGCUAUUAUAUGGCCAGAGGUGAAAUUCACGGAUUCAUAUAAGAGCAACUUAUGCGAAAGCAUUCACCAAGGAUGUCUUCAUUG